Molecule: ribosomal RNA, 319 nt
Filed under: uncultured eukaryote
Lineage: Eukaryota
Description: partial 18S ribosomal RNA
Rfam family: Eukaryotic small subunit ribosomal RNA
Source: RNAcentral
CCCUUAGAUGUUCUGGGCAGCACGCGCGCUACAAUGGUCUUCGCAAACGGAUGCAUUCUCGAAGGAGAAUGCCAAUCUUGGAAUCUAUGCCUUGGUCGGGACAGUUGCUUGCAAUUUUUCGACUCGAACCAGGAAUUCCUUGUAAUCAUGAUUCAUCACAUCACGAUGAAUACGUCCCUGCCCUUUGUACACACCGCCCGUCGCUCCUACCGAUCGAAGAGUUAGGUGAAUUGUUUUGAUCGAUAAGAUUUGACUAUGGUCAACUCUCGUUGUGAAAUUCUGUGAAUCUGACUGUUUAGAGGAAGGAAAAGUCGUAACA